UGAAAUCAAAUGACGACAUUAUUUCACAUUAAUUAGGUAAUUUCAGUCAACAUGUUUGUUAUUAUUCUUUCGAGAAUUAGCAAGUGUUGUCGGCUAGAUUCUUCUCACAAUUGACGAGGUUUUUAUUUUGAGAAUUAAGACUGAAAUUGAGCAUUCAUCGGUGUAGAUUCUUUUGAAUUUCACUUCCUCCCUGAGUUUGACUUAGUUUUCCACUGAUC
This 218-nucleotide long non-coding RNA is filed under the name Spirodela polyrhiza (greater duckweed). RNAcentral describes it as "long non-coding RNA (SPOL_LNC000893)". Lineage: Eukaryota; Viridiplantae; Streptophyta; Magnoliopsida; Alismatales; Araceae. The record is from RNAcentral.